RNAcentral lists this ribosomal RNA (298 nucleotides) under Psechrus senoculatus. Its description in RNAcentral is "partial 12S ribosomal RNA". Lineage: Eukaryota; Metazoa; Arthropoda; Arachnida; Araneae; Psechridae. The record is from RNAcentral.
GGUGGCAUUUUAUUUUAUUAGAGGAAUUUGUCUAUUAAUUGAUAAUCCACAAUAAAUUUUACUUUUCUUAAAAACUUAUAUACCGCCAUCAAAAGAAUUAAUUUAAAAAUUUUAUUCUUAAUAAUUAUUUAAAAGUUAGGUCAAGGUGUAGUUUGUAUAAAAGUAUAGAUGAAUUACAUUAAAAUAAAUUUAAGAAUUUACUUAUUAAAAUUUUUAAUGAAAAAGGAUUUAAAAGUAAAAAAUUAAUAAUAAUAAUAUUUGAAUCGUUAGAAAUGUACACACAUCGCCCGUCGCUCUU